This 450-nucleotide ribosomal RNA is filed under the name uncultured bacterium. Its description in RNAcentral is "partial 16S ribosomal RNA". It matches the Rfam family "Bacterial small subunit ribosomal RNA", at positions 338 to 795 of the family's 1533-position model. The record is from RNAcentral.
CCUACGGGUGGCUGCAGUGGGGAAUUUUGCGCAAUGGGCGAAAGCCUGACGCAGCAACGCCGCGUGAGUGAUGAAGGCUUUCGGGUCGUAAAGCUCUGUCAAUGGGAAAGAAGUGUAUUGUAGCUAAUAUCUGCGAUACUUGACGGUACCCAUAAAGGAAGCACCGGCUAACUCCGUGCCAGCAGCCGCGGUAAUACGGGGGGUGCAAGCGUUGGUCGGAAUUGUUGGGGGGGAUGCGCGUGUCGGCUGUGAAAGCCCUGGGCUCAACCCAGGAAGUGCAUUGGAAACUGGCAGACUUGAAUACGGGAGAGGGUAGUGGAAUUCCUGGUGUAGGAGUGAAAUCCGUAGAUAUCAGGAGGAACACCGGUGGCGAAGGCGGCUGCCUGGACCGAUAUUGACGCUGAGACGCGAAAGCGUGGGUAGCAAACAGGAUUAGAUACCCGAGUAGUC